Molecule: transfer RNA, 77 nt
Filed under: Planctomycetota bacterium
Lineage: Bacteria; Pseudomonadati; Planctomycetota
Description: Planctomycetes bacterium (sediment metagenome) tRNA-Cys
Rfam family: tRNA
About the family: Transfer RNA (tRNA) molecules are approximately 80 nucleotides in length. Their secondary structure includes four short double-helical elements and three loops (D, anti-codon, and T loops).
Source: RNAcentral
GGCGGCGUAGCCAAGUGGCCCAAGGCGAGUGAUUGCAAAUCACUUAUCCGCCGGUUCGAAUCCGGCCGCCGCCUCCA